This 492-nucleotide ribosomal RNA is filed under the name uncultured bacterium. RNAcentral describes it as "partial 16S ribosomal RNA". It matches the Rfam family "Bacterial small subunit ribosomal RNA", at positions 29 to 507 of the family's 1533-position model. The record is from RNAcentral.
AGUGAACGCUGGCGGUAGGCCUAACACAUGCAAGUCGAACGGCAGCACAGUAAGAGCUUGCUCUUACGGGUGGCGAGUGGCGGACGGGUGAGGAAUACAUCGGAAUCUACUUUUUCGCGGGGGAUAACGUCGGGAAACUUACGCUAAUACCGCAUACGACCUACGGGUGAAAGCGGGGGAUCUUCUGACCUUGCGCGAUUGAAUGAGCCGAUGUCGGAUUAGCUAGUUGGCGGGGUAAAGGCCCACCAAGGCGACGAUCCGUAGCUGGUCUGAGAGGAUGAUCAGCCACACUGGAACUGAGACACGGUCCAGACUCCUACGGGAGGCAGCAGUGGGGAAUAUUGGGCAAUGGGCGCAAGCCUGAUCCAGCCAUGCCGCGUGGGUGAAGAAGGCCUUCGGGUUGUAAAGCCCUUUUGUUAGGAAAGAAAAGCAGCAGGUUAAUACCCCGCUGUUCUGACGGUACCCAAAGAAUAAGCACCGGCUAACUUCGUG